RNAcentral lists this ribosomal RNA (537 nucleotides) under Escherichia coli. RNAcentral's name for it is "partial 23S ribosomal RNA". It matches the Rfam family "Bacterial large subunit ribosomal RNA", at positions 703 to 1238 of the family's 2925-position model. The record is from RNAcentral. Lineage: Bacteria; Pseudomonadati; Pseudomonadota; Gammaproteobacteria; Enterobacterales; Enterobacteriaceae.
CAGGGUAUAGACCCGAAACCCGGUGAUCUAGCCAUGGGCAGGUUGAAGGUUGGGUAACACUAACUGGAGGACCGAACCGACUAAUGUUGAAAAAUUAGCGGAUGACUUGUGGCUGGGGGUGAAAGGCCAAUCAAACCGGGAGAUAGCUGGUUCUCCCCGAAAGCUAUUUAGGUAGCGCCUCGUGAAUUCAUCUCCGGGGGUAGAGCACUGUUUCGGCAAGGGGGUCAUCCCGACUUACCAACCCGAUGCAAACUGCGAAUACCGGAGAAUGUUAUCACGGGAGACACACGGCGGGUGCUAACGUCCGUCGUGAAGAGGGAAACAACCCAGACCGCCAGCUAAGGUCCCAAAGUCAUGGUUAAGUGGGAAACGAUGUGGGAAGGCCCAGACAGCCAGGAUGUUGGCUUAGAAGCAGCCAUCAUUUAAAGAAAGCGUAAUAGCUCACUGGUCGAGUCGGCCUGCGCGGAAGAUGUAACGGGGCUAAACCAUGCACCGAAGCUGCGGCAGCGACACUAUGUGUUGUUGGGUAGGGGAGCG